GAUGAACGCUGGCGGCGUGCCUAAUACAUGCAAGUCGAGCGAACAGACGAGGAGCUUGCUCCUCUGACGUUGGCGGCGGACGGGUGAGUAACACGUGGAUAACCUACCUAUAAGACUGGGAUAACUUGGGGAAACCGGAGCUAAUACCGGAUAAUAUAUUGAACCGCAUGGUUCAAUAGUGAAAGACGGUUUUGCUGUCACUUAUAGAUGGAUCCGCGCCGCAUUAGCUAGUUGGUAAGGUAACGGCUUACCAAGGCAACGAUGCGUAGCCGACCUGAGAGGGUGAUCGGCCACACUGGAACUGAGACACGGUCCAGACUCCUACGGGAGGCAGCAGUAGGGAAUCUUCCGCAAUGGGCGAAAGCCUGACGGAGCAACGCCGCGUGAGUGAUGAAGGUCUUCGGAUCGUAAAACUCUGUUAUUAGGGAAGAACAAAUGUGUAAGUAACUAUGCACGUCUUGACGGUACCUAAUCAGAAAGCCACGGCUAACUACGUG
This 497-nucleotide ribosomal RNA is filed under the name uncultured bacterium. Its description in RNAcentral is "partial 16S ribosomal RNA". It matches the Rfam family "Bacterial small subunit ribosomal RNA", at positions 28 to 507 of the family's 1533-position model. The record is from RNAcentral.